UAGGGAGUGUGGGCCGUUUUGUGAAUGGGUUGCCAGGCUGCCUACUGCAGACACCGCCGGGAGCAGAACCCAAGUCGGCCUCCACCUGCAGCCGGUACCCGUGGAGGAUACAGACGAGGUGUCUGCGAUGCGGACCCAGCCGGCGGUGCCUGCCUCGUGGAAUGUGCGGCUCUUCGUCAGCAAGGCUGCAUUCAGCCUUCUCUUCGUCAGCAAGGCUGCAUUCAGCCUUCAUUGCUGUCAGCUCCGUGGCAGCUACAUCCUGGGCUCCUGAAGACUCAGGCGAGGGCAUGGCUUCUCAUCCUCCUCGUCUUCAUCUCCACCAUCCAUCUGUCCUGUGCCUUGCAGUCCAGCUCAGGUGCAGAGGCCAAGACCGUUUUGCCCAAGAAGGAGAAAAUGAAGCUAAGGCGUGAGCAGUGGUUGCAGAAAAUCGAAGCCAUAAAACUGGCUGAGCAGAAGCACAGGGAGGAGCGGAGGCGGAGGGCCACGGUGGUGGUGGGGGACCUGCACCCGCUCAGGGACGCCCUGCCCGAGCUGCUGGGGCUCAAGGCUAGCAGCCGGCGCCAAGCCCACAGCAGGGAGAGGGAGAGCAACAAGCCCCGGCCCUCAGAGCUCAGCCGGAUGAGCACAGCCCAGAGACAGCAGCUUCUUGAGGAAGAAAGGACCCGGUUUCGGGAGCUGCUGGCUAGUCCGGCCUACAGAGCCAGACCCCUGGUGGCGAUCGGGCAGACGCUGGCCCGGCAGAUGCAGCUGGAAGGUGGCGGCGAGCUCUGACCAGGGCAGUGGGCGUGCCCCAACUCCUCAGGACACACGUGUGGGCCAGAUGCAGAGGCGCCUGGGGCCUGAGAGUCCCUGCAAGGUCGUGGAGCACAGGCCUCAUCUCCCGGUGGCCCGAGCCACUUAGGACAAAAAGCCCUGGAGCCCUGAGUGGGGAAACUGAGGCCUGCGAGGAGAGAGCCUCCCUCCCCAGCCAGCCAGGUGAUGGGCGCUGACAUUCAGGAGCACGGAGCUUCCGGCUGUCCCCUCCAUUCUCAAGAAGAAUGUGAGCGCCAUCCCAGCCCGGCCGUCAGUAACAUUCCAGGAGCUUUAGGAGAGCGUCUCCCUUGCCAGUCAAGAGCCAGGCUCCACACACCUCAGUCCGGAAGGACUGCUCAGCCUUGGGCUAAAAAAGGGAAAAACCGCAAGCAGACAGCGUCCACAGCCGCGUCUCCAGGCCACGGCAGGCACCAGCAAGGCAGCUGCGAAUGGGAAGGGCAGAGGCGGCCAGAAGCUCAUGCCCUCACUGAUGCCAGCCCUGGCUGUGCUUUCCAAAAAUUAUCCCACUCAGCUCCCUGAGUCCCACGGAUCAGGCGUCCUUAGCCUGCUGUGGGGAGGGUAGGGGAGACUGAGACACAGAAGGCCAGGCCCCCCAGGCAUGGAGCACAGCCCACGACCCGGAGCCAUGGAGUCACCCAGGCUGCACAGCUGGCGAGAGCAGCCCCAGAUGUGGCGGAGCCUCUGGGUUCAAGGCCACAGUUCCUGCUGCACCCCCGACCCUGGGCCUGCCAUGGAAGGUGUGGCCCCUGGGGAAUGGGCAGAGCAGGGUCUGUGUACAGGGUUCCUUGCCGGGCACGUGGCCAGCACUGCAGGAGCCGGCAUUGUGGCAGCCCGGACGCCCUGACCCCGUGUAGACGUUUUUGGUGCAGCCCCGCCCAUGUGGUCUUAGGGUGACCGUGUGACCACAGCCCACGGCAGGCACAAGGGAGGCCACUUCCAGACCUGGGGGUUAGACUGUGGCUUCUGGCACCUGGAGGAGACUUGGCAGCCUGGGGGUGCCACAUGGUCAGGGACUGCGGCCUCCCCACAGCCCUGUGAGCCCCGUCCGGGACGUGGGACUGCCUGUGGCUGUCACCUGAGCCGCAGCCACCAGCCACCAGCCACGCUGCCCCAGAAAUGGGGGAGCUAACACGUGGAGGCCUUUUUAAGCUGCUAAGUUUUGGGGUUAUUUGCUACACAGCUAUAGGUGUCUGAUAUGCCGUGGGGUGUGCCCUGAAUGUGGGGUCUGGUUGGCCCUAGGUUAGUGUCAAGCUUUGGGCAGCCAGGGCACCAAAGCCCCCACCCCUGCCGACUGUGGCCGUGCACCUGCAGGACCAGUUCCACUGCUGUGUGGGCCUCGCCUCUGGACAUGGGCCCCAGGACCCUGCCACUGAGGCUGGCCUGGCUCCGUGUCCUCCCACCCACUCCCGUUCAGUGCUGCUGGGCACCGUGCCGUCUGCUGCCCACCAGGACCCGGCUCCUGGCAGGCCUGAGCCCCCUCCCCAUCUCCCUCCCCCUCCCUGAUCCCCCCUGGGCCCAGCCUGCUGAGGGUGACUCUUCUUCACACCCAGACUCUGGGCUCCGGUUCCUCACCCCGUCCCUGGGACUUCCUGCUGGUCACAUUGUCCUUCCAGCAGUGCCCCCAACACACAUGGCCAUUCCUGGGGAGUCUUCCAGGCAGCCCUGCCCACCAUCUCCACACACCUCCUUCCCACCUGCUCACCUCAAGGUCCUGUUCCCAGCAUAUGGCUCUGCUGCUGGCCUGGGAGGAGACCUGACGCCUCCAGGGCCACUGUCAGCCUCCCGGGGACACACUGCUGCCGGCCUCGCUUUGGAGUCUACCCCUGUCCUGUCCCCACCUGCCCCGUCCCCACCUGUCCUGUCCCCACCUGCACCAUCCCCCCACCUGUCCUGAUUCUGGUGAGCCUGUCAGGUGACAAACCCUGGUCGUCUCCUCCAUGGGGCACCUGGUGAAGCUGAGGGAGGACUCUGGAGCUGGGACUUAGUUUCCCCUCCUAGGGGCCACGAACUGGUCUGGAUGUUACAGUCAUGGGGCUGCUGAGGGAGGACAGGUUGAGGGCACCAUCUAGGGUGAGUCUUGGUCGGCUGGCAGAGGGCUGGCCCAGGGAGCCCCAUCCCUCCCUGAGGGCCCCACCUGCCCAGUACCGUGGCCCGUGGCCCAGGUUUGGCCUGCCCACCAGAUCCAGUCCUUUGGCACCCGUGUCCCUAGGGCCCUGGGCUGUGAGGAGGCGUGAAGGGGAAGGAAGGACAUUUGGGGGGGGGGGCUGUCACACACAGGAGCAUCGCUGUUGAAGGUUUCCUAUAAAUGCAGCUGUGUUCAUGCAUGUUCUAAAUGGAACUGCCAGCUGGCUUUUGGUUUGUGAGUCUUCAUUAAAGAUUACAUUUCUGUUCA
Molecule: RNA transcript, 3205 nt
Organism: Cercocebus atys (sooty mangabey)
Lineage: Eukaryota; Metazoa; Chordata; Mammalia; Primates; Cercopithecidae
Gene: SLX9
Gene name: family with sequence similarity 207, member A
Exons: 9
Source: RefSeq, a predicted model, not a curated record